Molecule: ribosomal RNA, 278 nt
Filed under: uncultured bacterium
Lineage: Bacteria
Description: partial 16S ribosomal RNA
Rfam family: Bacterial small subunit ribosomal RNA
Source: RNAcentral
UGCCAGCAGCCGCGGUAAUACGGGGGGUGCAAGCGUUAAUCGGAAUUACUGGCGUAAAGCGCGUGUAGGCGGCCUGUCGAGUCGGGCGUGAAAGCCCGGGGCUCGACCCCGGAGGUGCGUUCGAGACUGGCGGGCUGGAGUCCGGGAGAGGGGAGUGGAAUUCCCAGUGUAGAGGUGAAAUUCGUAGAUAUUGGGAAGAACACCAGUGGCGAAGGCGGCUCCCUGGCCCGGGACUGACGCUGAGGCGCGAAAGCGUGGGGAGCAAACAGGAUUAGAUA